CCUUGACGGACUGUGCACGUUUGCUAUGUCUAGGCAGCCAAGGCAGGACGCACCAUUUACCGCCGGCUACGAGAGGUCACCAACCGCCCCGCACCGUUCCUGACGUCCGCACCCACGCCCCCCGCCCGCCUCCAGCGGUGCGCUCGCUCCUCGGGGCUUGACGUCAAGGCGGUCCAGGAGCAUGCGCAAUGCGGCCCCUCGGCAGGCCAGGUUCCGAGUGUGCGUCUUCGGGAAACUUAUGUGCGCUAGUCGGUUCGCUCGAUGCCUGGGCUUGUGGGUCGAAUUGAGGUGCCGGAGUCCGCUACUGCCUAGCGCGCCUGGCGGGAGCCGCCGGCGUUGGCCACCCGCCGCCUGGGUGUGUGCCCCAGUGACCACAGGUGCCCCGGCGUCAGUUCUGGAAGAAACCUGAGAGCAGGGUGGCUUGGGUCGUGGGAGCCAUGGUGAAGACGAACAGUGUCCCUGACGGAUAAACUUAUUGGAGUUCAUUGUACUAAUGGAAUUAAGAGAACAGGAUGUCUUAUAUGUAGGUACCUUAUUGAUGUUGAAGGCUGGGAUCCAGAUAUAGCAAUUCAAGCUUUUGGUGAGGCCCAGGAUCAUCAAAUAGAUGGAUGUGCAUGCUUGAAGAAUCUCAAAACUCGGCCCAUGAGAAGAAGCCGGGGACAAAAACGACGACCUUGUCUAACCACCAUGAAUACCCACCUCAUGGUGAUUUUCAGGACCAGGACUUACCUGUGCAAGGUUUUAAUUACCUCAAUACAGGUGGUUUUCAAAGGCAAAAACCUUUCCGCAAGCACUGUUCUCAUGAUGAAAUGAAUUUGGAAGAUGUAGAAUAUGCUGAUGAAGCAUCAGAGCACAGACUGGGACCUUUACGUGACCAUUCCAACAAUGACUUCUCAGAGAUAUACCAUUGAAAAUGUUCAUAGAAGUCAUGGGCAAAGACUACCACCCUUUCAAAAGUUUCAAAAACAAAUGAAGUUAAGAAGUUUUGAUUUCAACAGCAGAACCAGGCCAAGGCAAGUGUCCUACUGUAACAGCCAGCCUAGUGAUCCACAAGAACAGAUGCUAUUGGAACAGCUGGACUUUGAACAGGAAACAUCUUUACAAAGAUCAAGAUCUUCUCAUAACCACGCAACUCCUGAUAACAUAAAUCCUGAUUGGAAUUUAGAUAAGUGGAAGCAUCAGGAGAGCACUGACCCCACUGAAAUUGAAGUGCAAGACAAGAAGGAGAAAGACUGAUCUUUCCAGAAGAUAAUCAAAGAAUACAUCCUUCAAAUGGAUUUAACUGCAGGAGACAGAGCUUAUUCACGCCAUAUUCUUCACGGGGACUUCCAUUUUCACGUGUAUUCCAAGAAGAUGGUUCAGUUGACUAUUAUAGAGGUAAAAGUAUAAGAGAUAUGGAACAGCACAAAAGAUCAUAUUUUUAACCUACUGAUUACAAUUAUGGUAUGCUUGUAGAUUGCGGAGCUGAAGAGAAAGGGAAUACUCUGAUUUACCAUCAAGAAAAACUGCAAUUGGUGCUGAGCAGUUUGCUUUAAAAACUGCCCACUGUUUAUCUGUAUUUGCCCCUUUUUCAUUGUUACUGGGCCAAAAAUCAUUUCACAACAAAAAAAUAACUUGUAUGUCAAAAGGCAACUUUUGUUAUUAUAAAAUUAGCCAUCAACAUCUUUUAAUUUUUUGUAAGAGUAUUUAUAAAUAUAAGGAAACUAACAAUGUGGAGUACAUAUAAUUAUUGCUUUUUCAAAACUAGAAAUCUAUUUGAUUUCUUGAAGGUCUGUUUUUAGUUAUAUAUGCUAAUGAAUUGCAUUUCUGGUUGCAAACUUUGUAAAAAAAUAAUUUAUGAUUCAUUUAUUCAUUUUACAAAUAAUUAUUGUGUGCAUAUGGUAAGAGAUUGUAGCUUCCACUGAGCAGGUUAAACAACAAAAUCAUAGUGUUUAAAAACCCAUCAUAACUAAAUUCCUGAAAGUGACUAGCUCUUUCAUCCCUGGUAGAGUGACAGGAGAAGGAAAAAGCCAUCCUAGACAGAGAUAAAAGAAACCAGCUGAACUUGAAUUUUUAAAGGUUGCAUGUAGCUUGCAUUAUGGUUCACCUACCAGCUCUUUCCUGUGGGCCUCUCCCCAAGAGCACAGCGGUAGUAUACGGAAAGCUAGAGGCAAGACAGAAGACUGGGAGAAAUCACUCUGAGGUACACAGGAUCUCACUGAGUGCAAGGGAGUAGCUCCCCAAAGGCAGAGGGCAGGGUAAACAGAAAUUUCCUUAGGUACAGGAAACUGACGAAAAAAGAAAC
Equus asinus (donkey) is the source of this 2284-nucleotide long non-coding RNA. NCBI's taxonomy places the organism in Eukaryota, Metazoa, Chordata, Mammalia, Perissodactyla, Equidae. The record is from Ensembl.